Molecule: transfer RNA, 91 nt
Filed under: Nitrososphaerales archaeon
Lineage: Archaea; Thermoproteati; Nitrososphaerota; Nitrososphaeria; Nitrososphaerales
Description: tRNA-OTHER
Rfam family: tRNA
About the family: Transfer RNA (tRNA) molecules are approximately 80 nucleotides in length. Their secondary structure includes four short double-helical elements and three loops (D, anti-codon, and T loops).
Source: RNAcentral
GGGCCAGUAGUCUAGCAUGGUUAGGACGUCAGAUAAUAUCCGCCAAGCUCUUACACAGCGAAGGUCGCAGGUUCAAGUCCUGCCUGGCCCA